This 491-nucleotide ribosomal RNA is filed under the name uncultured bacterium. Its description in RNAcentral is "partial 16S ribosomal RNA". It matches the Rfam family "Bacterial small subunit ribosomal RNA", at positions 27 to 507 of the family's 1533-position model. The record is from RNAcentral.
GAUUGAACGCUGGCGGCAGGCCUAACACAUGCAAGUCGAACGGUAACAGGAAGAAGCUUGCUUCUUUGCUGACGAGUGGCGGACGGGUGAGUAAUGUCUGGGAAACUGCCUGAUGGAGGGGGAUAACUACUGGAAACGGUAGCUAAUACCGCAUAACGUCGCAAGACCAAAGAGGGGGACCUUCGGGCCUCUUGCCAUCGGAUGUGCCCAGAUGGGAUUAGCUAGUAGGUGGGGUAACGGCUCACCUAGGCGACGAUCCCUAGCUGGUCUGAGAGGAUGACCAGCCACACUGGAACUGAGACACGGUCCAGACUCCUACGGGAGGCAGCAGUGGGGAAUAUUGCACAAUGGGCGCAAGCCUGAUGCAGCCAUGCCGCGUGUAUGAAGAAGGCCUUCGGGUUGUAAAGUACUUUCAGCGGGGAGGAAGGGAGUAAAGUUAAUACCUUUACUCAUUGACGUUACCCGCAGAAGAAGCACCGGCUAACUCCGUG